GUUAAAACCAACUGCUUACAAAUAUCUUCCCCUACUCUCAAGGGACAUGAUCUAAAUAUGAACCAUCACAGGCACCGAGAUUUUUGGCUAGAAACUCCUCCUACUGACACAGUAUCCUGUUCCCUGAGGUGAGCCAGAGGCAUUCUUUCCAUAGCCUCUUCCUCAGAAGAGAGGCAGAAGCACUCACUGGCUUUCGCGGUGCUGGCCUGGGUUUUAAUACCAAUCUAGCCUCUCAGUGAUUGAGCCAAGGUUACUUUGGUCAUGGUGUUUCAUUGAAGCAAUAGUAAAUCUAAGACAACAUCUCAUGGUCCUGUCAUCUCCAGCAUCUAGGAGGUCUUCAUUGUAACUCAGGCUUUACCUGUAGUGUUUCAUAAAAUGGCCUCUCAGGACUUUCUGAAUAAAGCUUAGCAAGUGGGAUCUACCCUCUGGCUGUGUAAUAAAGACCUGAAGAAAGCCAGCACAACUGGGCUCGCCAGUUAGCAGCUGGAGAGCUUGGAGUUUUGCUUCUCCUCAGUUUCUCAAUCUAUGAAGGAUCAAUAAAAGCAUCAUUCCCCAGAAUAAGUUCUGAAGUGAAUGAGACAAUGAUGUAAAUAACCCGACUCAAAGAGUAGCAUAGAGGAUGUAGCUAGCGACUGGGAGCUGUUGCUGCUGUAACUGCCCAGAAGUCAGUCAUUCUGCCCUCCUCUAAAUAGCUAACUGCUGCAUCCAAUCAGUUUCCAAACCCUAUUGAUUUUUAUGUAUUUUGCAUUGUUCUAAUAUAGAUGCCUUUCUG
RNAcentral lists this long non-coding RNA (772 nucleotides) under Cricetulus griseus (Chinese hamster). Its description in RNAcentral is "lncRNA (ENSCGRG00015039654.1)". Lineage: Eukaryota; Metazoa; Chordata; Mammalia; Rodentia; Cricetidae. The record is from RNAcentral.